CCCAACAUUACUGGCAUUAGAAAACAGUAUGCUACCAUUUUAACUUUUUUUUGAGUUCUUUUUUAUUCGUUAAUUGCCCAUCAAUUAAGUGAAUUUGAACUUCUUCUUAAUUUUUCAAUUUUACACUGGAAGGGAUUGAACCAUUUGACCUCUCCUACCUCUAACCCAUUUCCCCACUCUAACUCACCACUUGGGCUAACCCCAAGGUUUAAAACUUCACCUCUUUGAUAGGAGAUGGGGCAAGAUUUAGAUGUUCAGGAAUUUAUGAAGGAAAUUCUGUUUGCAUUUACUUUUAAUACGUUUGAUGUUAAUAAGAUAUGAGCUUUCUGUCUCUCUCCCACUUCCCCCACCUGCCCCUCCUCCCUAUGUUUCAGCAUGUUAUAACUUAGAAGUUUACUCAACUUUAGUUGUUACCAAUUUCCUGUUCUCUUCAUUUUGUCCAACACAGAUAGCACAAAUGUUGGCUGUGCUCGUUUCCAAAAUUGCUCGUAUAGAUUACCCCAAAGAAUGGUAUGAUUUUACUGUAACUUCAACUUCUAUGGUUUUUUAAAAUAGACCUUGCAGGAAAGUUAUAAACUUAUAAUCUGGUUGAGCUUUGUGGUGCUAUAAGAACUUGAUAAUGGGAUGUUAUGGGAUGGGAUCCGCUGUCCCCAUUUUCCAUGUCCCUCCGUGUCCCUUGUAUAAUUUUUUGACAUGUGUCCAACAACUUAACCCUAACAUAACACUGUUAACUAAUAAAUUAGAAAAAUNNNNNNNNNNNNNNNNNNNNNNNNNNNNNNNNNNNNNNNNNNNNNNNNNNNNNNNNNNNNNNNNNNNNNNNNNNNNNNNNNNNNNNNNNNNNNNNNNNNNUCAAGCAGUACUACAAUUUCAAGAUGGGUUUUCAAGGAAGGUAUCACAUUUUGGCUGCCCAGUGCCCACCACCAUAUACAAUUUCCUAAUCACUAUUAAUUGGAAGCAUAGCUAAAAACCUUUUCCCAAAAAAACCAAAGGCAUUAGAGAUGUUCAGAUUUAGAACCUAACAUUGCUGAGAAGAUCUAGAACACUUCACCUCAGGCCCUUGCUUUCUGCAGCAGAGGAGUGAAGGCAUGGCAAGAGGAAUUAGCAGCAGCAUUGGACGCCAAUUCCUUGCAAGAAUCAAAACCAACUUCAGAAACCAUCUUCAAGAACUCUUCCAAUCCCAGCCGUCCAAAUUUGCUCUCAUCCCUCUCAAUAAAUCUCAAGAUCUCUUUGAAAACCCCAACCUCGCAAGGCAACACGAGGCCUCCGCUGCACCCGAACCCAAACUCUUCCUCGGCCUUCUUUAGUAAUCUGACGAAAACCGGGAGGUUCACGAACCAGGCCUGGAUCACGACAAGGGGAGAGGGCUCGUCUGCAGUGAGAAGGACAAGGGGUUGUGGCGGGUGAGGUGGUGGGCACUCAAACUGGUGGCUGUUUGGUUACAUUUAUUCUUUUAAUGUUUAGUUUUUAUUUUUCUAAUUUAUUAGUUAACAUUGUUAUGUUAGGGUUAAGUUGUUGGACACAUGUCAAAAAAUUAUACAAGGGACACGGAGGGACAUGGAAAAUGGGGACAGCAGAUCCCAUCCUGGAUGUUAUAGGGUUUUAUUUCUUUCAUCAACUGCUUACAAGAAACGGGAACUAGGGGAAAGAAAGAAGAUUAGGGACACGAGUUACAUGAAUUAGCCUUGCAUGAAUUUUCUGUUUUAAAAAAAAAGAGAACGAUAUAAAUAUCUACAUUCUAAGGUGUAUGAUGCUGCAGAAAGUCAGACUGGACGUGAAUCCCAUAUUUUGCCUAUAGUUUGAAAGAAAAUUACCCUAGAGAGAACUGAAUGAGGAAAAAUAUGAAUUUGUCAUAUAGUUUAAGACGCUCGUGUUCACAUUGCAGACAAUGGCUUAGUAAUUGUAGGAUAAGCAGAUGGCUGGAUUAUGAAAUACUUUAGAAGUGAGCAUAGCUUGUUUAGUUUGAUUUGUUCUUAUCAAGACUUGCAAACUCUGUAUGCCUUUUUUUUUUCUUCUUGGAUGAGUUUGCGCAUGUGCAAAUGAUGUGUUUAUUGUUGAAUGUUGGGUUUCAAACGUCAGUCCCCUGACAUAUUUUGUAUGUUCCUAUAUCGUGUAAAACUUGUACUGAUCUAUCAACCUAAUGACAUGUUCAGGCCAGAGCUCUUUUCUGUUUUAGCACAGAAGCUUCAAUCAACAGAUGUUCUUUCCUCCCACAGGAUUUUUUUGACUCUCUUUCGAACUUUGAAGGAAUUGUCCACUAAGCGACUUAUCUCAGACCAAAAGAACUUCGCAGAGGUAUAGGCUACUGUACUAUUUCCUCUAUUUUUCUGCAACACAGGAUGUCUUCCAUUUUCUCGAAUUAUUGUAUUAUGAAAUCAACAAUGUGCUGAGGUGUGGUCAGGUAUUGGUGUUAAAACCUUAUUGGGGUGGUUAAGGAGGCUUGGGUUUCUAAAUGUGUCUUCCGUAUGGCAUUAAAAGGUUAUUUAUGUGUGGGAUUAAGCUAGAUAUCCCUUUUUUCAGUUUUCAUUCCUGUAAUAGUUUAACAUAGAUAUCAUUUUGUGGUUUUCAUUCUUGUGCAACAGUAAAAUAUUCCUUGAGCUGCCAAUCAUAUGUUUUAAGGAGCAGUCUUUUCUAAUUGAGAUUUUAAUUCUCUGUUAAUCUGGUUAAUUUGUUUUAGUCUCUGAGCAGGCAAUGUGUAGUGUUAAUCUGUUGCCUUAAUUGUAAAGGAGCACAUGGCUCGUAAAUGUGGACAGCCCGUGGCAUGGACUUUUUUUAUAGUCUGGACGUUUGCUCUCGUGAAGUGUGACAAGCUACCAAUAAAAAUUUCUAAGAAAUUUCAGAAUGACUAAAAAUAUUUUUUUUUCUCUCUUACUAAUGAGUUCAAAGGUCUUUUGUUGAAGAAGAUCGUGAUUGACUCGAUUUCUGAGCUUUAUUAGGUGUAGUGUGGAGCAAUGUUGUCCAAGGCGAGUCGUUGAGUCGAGGCGUAAGCCUUUCGGAUGUGUAUCAUUAUAAUUAAUAAAAUACACAUGUUAAAUAUGUGAUUGUGUGUGUAUAUAUGGGGUCAUGCAAUUUAAUUAGUGGUCAUGAACCUUAUUAUUUAUUUUCUGUUGUUGGGCAACUUAUGAAGCCUAGCUUUCUGAUAGCCACAUACUUAAGCAGCCAACCAGAGCUGCACACCUGUUGUAGAGUAGAGAGAUGUUUUUGCUGUUGAAAAAUUAGGGGGCACCACAAUCUUUUGUUUUAAAGGGGGUGUGUGGGCAGUGAGGAUCUUGAACCUCAUGCUCUACACUGUUUCUGCCAAAUCUGGUUUUGAAUCAAGACUCUUGAUUUCCAAGCCCCUGGUGAUGGGGAUGACUACUGAAGUUGAGCUUCCUUAUGAGGAUGGACUCGAAGUCAAUUUAUUUAGGACGGCAACUGCCUGUUAAUUUCAUUUGUUUCUUUGUAGUGAAUUUUGAAGCUUUACAGAUAUUGUCAGGUUUUGGCAAAAGAAAGGUCCUUAAAGUCUGCACACACAGAUAUAUUACUUAUUAUGAAGGUGUUGUUUUUCUUGUAUACCUUAUGAACAUCUUAUACGAAACCUUCGUACUUAUGGAUUUUUUUUUUUUUUUUUUUUUGCAGAUAUCAUCUCAUUUCUUUGAUUAUAGCUGGCACCUUUGGCAGAGUGAUGUGCAAACAAUAUUGCACGGUUUUUCUACUCUUUCUGAAAGCUACAACUCAAAUACAUUUGAUCAACAUCAGGAUGAGCUUUAUCUAACUUGUGAGCGAUGGCUGUUGUGCUUAAAGAUAAUACGCCAGUUAGUAGUUUCAGGGUUUCCAAGUGAUGCAAAAUGUGUACAGGUAGUUAACACCCCCAACCAAAACGCAAAAGAUAAAAAAUAUUGGUGGUGAUGUCUUACCAUUAUCUCAGCUGCACCGACACUUUUCAUCAAUACGGCGGUGCACAAUUAUCGUUCAUAACUCAUCUGUGUGUAUUUUUUAGGAGGUCCGGCCAGUAAAGGAGGUCUCACCCGUGCUCUUGAAUGCCAUUCAGUCAUUUCUUCCAUACUGUGAGAUCUGCUCUCCUGUCUAAUUUUUCAGCAAAAUUGUAUCUGCAUAAAUUAUGUCGAGAAGAGGCUGUGUAAACGGUUUUUCUGGAUAAUGUGAUGUAGGAUAUGGGUGAAUUAUAGAUUUAGGUAGUUUACCGGAAGUGAAAACAAUGAAAACAGAAAAUUAAGGGCCCGUUCGGUAACGUUUUCGGAGAAUGUUUUCUUAGAAUAUUUUCAGAGAAUGAAAACAAGAAAGCGAUUUGAAAAUGCGUCUGGUAGGUUAAUUAGAAAACAGAUUCAGAAAACAAAAACAAUGAAAACAUGUCUGGUAGUACAAUUUGAGAAUAAUAAUAUGUGAGUUAUUUCAAGUGUAUUUUUGCGAAUUUAUGUUCUAAAAAGAAAUUUUUUUUAAAUGUAUAAUUUAACCCCAAAAAAAAUUAUAUUGUUUUUUAAAAGGUAAAACUAUCUUUAUCUCCUUUAUUUUUUUUUUCUAUUUUUUCAGCCAACGCCGUCCCUUUCUUUUUCUUUCUUCCUCUUCUCUCCUUUCUCUUUUCUUCUCCCAUCCCAUCCAAGGCCUGAUAUUCUCUCUCUCUCUCUCUCUCUCUCUCUCUCUCUCCCCACUUGGCAGUUUGCUUAGUGGGUGGUGGUAUUGAUGGUAGGGUCGAUUGGGUUUGACUGGGUGGUGGUGCGAUUAGCAGCUGGCUGGUCUGUUGUGGUGAUUGUGGUUCGAUUGGCCUGUAGUGGCUAUUGGGUGGUAGCUGUUGGGUCGAGAAAGGGGGAGAGAAGAGCAGGGUGAGCGAGGGGGAGAGAAGAUCUUUGUUUUUUGGUCUGAUGGGGAGAGAAGAUUGAGCAAGAGAUUGACGACAGUGAGCAGCAGCAACUGUUCUUUUUCAACCUCCCUUGUUUUGAGCGUUUCCCGUGAGAAUGAAAACAUCUUUUUUUCUGUUUUCUACAAAUACGCUUGAACUUGUUUUCAUUUUAGGAAAACAUUCUCAGUGUUUUCUGCUUUUGGCCCGCCGAACAGGUUCUUGCCGUGUUUUUGUUCUAUUAAAAUGAAAACAACCCCUUAAAACUUAACCGAACGGGCCCUAAAUGAAUAAGGAUAGGUCUGGAAUCACUCCAGGGGCUUCAGACCCGUACUUGGCUUCACACCAAGAAUUCCAAUCUCUGGAAAAUAAACUUGACUCAAUAACUCAAAUCUCAAAUCUCCAUAAUGAAUUACAUAGGCGGGUAUUUAUAAUAAUCUAACCCUAGAAUGAAAAGGAAAUUAAACUUAUUCUAGGAAAGAAAUCCUAAUCCAAAUAAAAUAGGAAACUUAGAAAUCCUACUGAAAUCUGGAAAACUUAGAGAACCUAGGAAACUAACAACAACAAAAGAAAGCUGCUCCAGAAUUGCAGGAUUUGAAGACUGAAUUAAUUAUUUCCUCUUCCAUCUCUUUCGUUUGUAAGCCCUAAUGGGUUUGACAAAGAUGUCCUCAUCAUAAUAUGAACUCUCUCUCUCUCUCUCUCUCUCUCUCUCUCUCUCUCUCCAUCAAAAAUAUUUAAACCUUUCAUAUGUUUUCCAAAUGUCUCUGUUUUCCCAAGUUCAUUAAGGGUCUCAGUUUGUGAACUGGUGUUUAAGAUCCAUUAAUUUGCGUUAUUUAGUCAGUUAGACUUGUACAGGUGUCAGUUUUUCCCUUCUAAUUAAUGACUAUCUUUUGGGUAGAAAGGAAGCUAAAGCCACCUUGAAUAACUACUUUGGAUACAUAUAUGUAUGUUAUGGUUGCAAAUAUGUUUUUGUUUAACAACAUUUUCCAGAAAUGUAAUGUUGCCUUUUUCCAGAUUCUUCCUUUCAGAAAGGACAUCCUAAAUUUUGGGACUUCCUAAAGAGGGCAUGUACCAAGCUGAUGAAGGUUUUAAUUGCAAUUCAAGGAAGGCAUCCUUACUCAUUUAGUGAUAAAUGUGUCCUUCCAACUGUAGUCGAUUUCUGUUUAAAGAAGAUAACAGAGCCUGAACCAGAUGUGUUAACGUUUGAGCAGUUUCUGAUUCAAUGUAUGGUAAUGGUUAAGUGUGUAUUGGAAUGUAAAGAGUACAAGCCAAGUCUCACUGGUCGGGUGAUGGAUGAAAAUGUGGUUACACUGGAGCAAAUGAAGAAAAGCAUAUCUGGUGCAGUCAGUGGUGUCUUGACUUCCCUUAUGACAAGUGAACGUAUAGUGGUCUUGUGUAACAUAUUAAUAAGAAGGUAAUGAUAUUCUAACCUCUGUUUCACUUUAUCUGGUUGCUAUGGCAUUAUCUUGCUUUUGUUUUUACUUAAUGUUUUAUUAAAGGGAAGAGGAGGGGGGGUGGGGGGGUUUGUGCGGGGUGGUGUGGGGUUUUUAUAUGUUAGCGUCAUAAAUUGGUAAUUUUUUUUUUUAUGUAAGUUAAAUAUUUUAGAUGUGUCUCUAGUAUCUUACAUAAUUGAUUGAGUGUACAGUGGCACCUCUUCAGUCUUAUGUGCAUGUGGUAUCUGUUUACUCACAUAUAGUGUUUUUACUUAUACCCUAGUUUCAUUUUGGUCCUCCAACUUUGUUUUUAUAGUCAAUUUGGUAAUCCAACUCUCUCAGUCGUGCCAAUUGGGUACUUCCGUUACAGUCCUCCAAUUUUGCUGUCUAUUUGAGCUGUCAAUUUAGGCACAAAUAUCUUCUAAAACGACCUACCCAGCUCUCUACUACUCAUUUCCCUUCAUAAUUUCUUGGAAUUACCCCCAAAUUGAAACCUACUUCACCUAUCUAUCCCAAUUCAGCAAGGCAGAGCUUCUUUUUCUUUUUAUUUGGUUUCCAUUGAAUAUGAAUCUGCUUAAUAGACAAAACCCAUUUUAAAGAACCCAACAAGAGGGAGAGAGAAAGAGGGAGAGAGAGAGUUCUAUGUAAUUCACUUAUCUCUCGUGCUUUGAAGAUUGAAGCUAAAGCGCUUAUUAGCUUUAACUUACAGUACUUUGAUCAAGCUCCAGACUUGAUUUUAGAGUUUAUGGUUUCAAUUUGGUUGAAAGUCUAAGGGAUUAUGGAGGGAAAUGGGCAGUAGAGAGCUGGGUAGGUCGUUUUAGAAGAUACUUGUGCUCAAAUUGACAGUUUCACGCCUCAAAUAGACAGCCAAAUUGAUGGAAUGUGGCGGAAGGACUCAAUUAACACGACGGAGAGAGCUGGAUGACCAAAUUGACUAAAAAAAGUUGACUCUUUAGAAGAAAGGAAAAGAAAUAGUUAGAACAGAAGAUAUAUACCCUAGUGAACAAGAAGCACAAGAAUUUGAUGAGAAGAGAUAUCUUUCUUCAACUGACUGUAUUCUUUCUGCAGAAGAGAUAUCUUUCUUCUUUGUACGGAGGACCAAACGAAACUCGGGUAUAAGUUCAGGGACCUUUGCAGUUAAAAACCCUUACUUAUAUCUUACUAUUUAAAUGAUUCAUUAGUUUGUCUAUGACCAACUUCAAUGUCAUGGUGCUCUAACAUUUCCACGGAGAGUUCCAGGUGUUUAAGUGGGAACUAUGUGGUGUGUGAGGGAAUCUUGGAAGACUCCUGGAUGUGAUUGUCCGCCUUCUUUUAAUAGUGUACAAAUUUUUUUUUCUUCCGUUGUUUGAGUGGCUUCAAAGCUUUCACUAUAUUUAGAAUAGAGUGAUUCAAUUGAUUACAGUCAUGGUAGAGCCAGAAAGGCACUGAGAUGCAAGGAUUUGGGUUUAGAGCUUAUGGUUCUAUUUAAGGUACAAUGAAAUUAUUAGAUAUGCUCUUUGGAUACUUAUUUUGGUAAUAUGUUGCAGGUAUUUUGUUCUAUCAACAAAUGAUUUGGAGGAGUGGUACCAGAGUCCUGAAUCUUUCCAUCAUGAGCAGGAUAUGGUUCAGUGGACAGAAAAAUUAAGGCCAUGUGCUGAAGCUUUGUACAUUGUUCUGUUUGAAAACCACAGCCAGGUUGGUGCAUUUCUGCGUUUUUACAUGGUUUUAUCAAAACAUUAUUAGUUCUAAAAAACUUUAUAUUUUAUAUUUUAAGUUUCAGAAAUUUGUGCUUAUGUGAUCUCAAUUUAUCAAUUUUAGCUUCUUGGUCCUGUUGUGGUUUCCAUCCUUAAAGAGGCAAUGAAUGGUUGCCCAACUUCAGUGACUGAAAUAACCCCAGGGUUGCUUCUUAAAGAUGCUGCUUAUGGUGCUGCUGCAUAUGUUUACUAUGAGCUCUCAAAUUAUCUGAGCUUUAAAGAUUGGUAUGUCUAUUCAUUACACGGAUAUCCAUUCAUUUAUUCAUAUGUCUUGUAUAGGUUAUCCAAAUUUAGGUACCAUUGAAUUGUUGAGGCAUAUAUAUUAUUGUGGUGAUUUGUUAAACUGAUUAUUUCUUAGAACUCGCAUACUGUAUUGUUUGUAUGGAGGGUGGGUUUGUGGCUUCAAGUAUGCACAUGGGCAAUUUUUUUUGUUCUAUGUCCACAAAUUUUGAGAAAAUUGAUUUAGGGUAGGGCAAGUUACUUAUUUUUCCUUGAUUUAUGGAGAUUACAUUUUGUAUAUUUGUGCUCUUUUGUUAGACAGUUGCAUAUUUCACUCGUAACAUGUUUGAGUGUCAUACUUGCUAAAUGAUAAUAUAAGGCUGCAAAAUUGGGUUUCCUGUAUGAAAAAGAAAGGAUGCAAUAAAGGCUUGAAAAAUAAAGGAAAAGAAAAACCAAAAUUCUUGACAUGCUUGUAGAGGUAGAAGUUGUUGGGACAUAACUCCAUGGUUGCUUUUGGUUUGUUAUGGUCUAUAAUUGCACUAUGACUGUGAGUUAACCUAAUAGCAGUCACAUAUCUGUUAGUGAACUUUUGACCUGAUAGCAGUCACAAGUUGUUGGGACAUAACUCCAUGGUUGCUUUCACCGUUGCAGGUUUAAUGGUGCAUUAUCCCUUGAACUCUCAAAUGAUCAUCCAAAUAUGCGUAUCAUCCAUCGGAAAGUUGCACUAAUAUUGGGACAAUGGGUUUCUGAGGUAGCAUAAUAUACUCACUGGAUUUGUAUAUAUUAUUAAACAUACGUAUCUAUGUAUCAUAAUUAACCAUACUUUCUUGUGCCAACACAAUGGUUUUAAUUUUCCAUUCUUUAAUCUUACACGUUCAGGGAAUGGAUAGAUUAAGGGGAAUAUCUAGUUAGAGACAUUAUAUAUAAGACUAAAUCUUUCAAUGUUGGAGAGAGAUGCAAUGUGCUGUGAAUUGCACUCUAUCUCAAAGGGAAGAAGUGUACGGACGUAAUGAAGAUUUGAUGUAUGUUGCAGGCAAAGUUUGUGCCAUCAAGUCCAGUUUGCUCUUAUGAAUAAGGAAAUAAUAUUGGUGAUGAACUUGUCAUUUCCUUCCAUAUGGAUGUAUACUUUUUCCUAAGUAAUUUUCUAGGAUAAAAAACAUUUCUGGAGAUAAUAAUGAAGUUAUGCCAGUUUUAAUUUGUUAUUAGGACUUGUUUUCUUUUGUUUCCCUUGAUAUUUAUUUCUGCACUAACAAAUUAACUAGAUAUAGGACUUAAUGAUAGCUAGUAAACUGUUGCAUUAGUUCUGGAGGUAUAGAGCGGUGGAGUCCUCUGAUUGUACCUUCCUUGAGUGCUCUUUUGAUGGAUAUGGAGCUUUGCAAGAAUCAAUGGAUCUGCUCUUGUGAUAUUUAUUAUGGCAAUCUAAUCCCUGAUUUAUUUAUUUGCCAUUUUCAAUAGCUGUUAGCCAUUUUAUUUGUCAUGUGUCUACUAAAAUAUGGAAAAUGAGUCAUUUUAAUUUAUUUUUUUUCAUUUUAUUGGCAGAUUAAAGAGGACACAAAAAGGCCAGUUUAUUGUGCUUUGAUCAGAUUGCUACAGGACAAGGAUCUAUCUGUUAGGGUAUGCACAUUUUUCUCAUGUAGAUAUUGUCUCUUCAUUUUUUUUCAUUCAUUGCUCUGAGGUUAUUAAAAGCUGCUAAAUUUGGUUGCUGUCCCUAGUUUAAUUACUUAAGCAUGUGCUUUUCUUAUUUUAGUUGGCAGCCUGUAGGUCUCUGUGUUUGCAUAUUGAAGAUGCUAGCUUUUCAGAAAGAGAAUUCAUCGACCUUCUCCCUAUCUGUUGGGAGUCAUGUUUUAAGUUGAUUGAGGAGGUUCAGGAGUUUGACUCAAAGGUAAAUAUUCUGCUGCUUCACUUGGAUGCAACCUUUUUGAAUAUUUUUAAAGUAAUUUCCCCUUUGUUGCUUUUUGUGUAUUUGAUUGCAAAAUGCCAUAAAAAUGGUGUUUGUUGCGUUUUUAUUAUUAUCAUGGGUAUACUAGUGAUUUGCCCCCUGAACUUGUGCCUAGCUUUUGAUUAACCCCCUAUCCUUUUUUUUUUUAUAGAAAAUUAAGGAUAUGAACUUUUUUUCGCCAAUUUCCCCCCUACCGUCUAAAUCCUCAACAUUUCAUCCAAUUUGCCGUUAAAUAUGAGGGCAUAUUGGUCAUUUCAAACAUUAAAAUUAAUAAAUAUAGAAAUUAAAAUUAAAAAAAUUAAAAAUUGAAAUAAUAAUGAUAUAUUCACCCUCUGUUUGACAGCCACCAAAAUCACCACCCUCUCUUUGAUCUCUUUGGUGGCUGUUUGGGUUUCCUGGGGAGUAAGUGAGGUUAAUAAUAAAGAUCUUGAAAUUUUUUGGGUGGCUAUUUAGCAUUUUGAUCUUGAAUAUUUUUUUUUUUGGGUGGCUGUUUGGGUUUUCUGGGAGGUGAGGUUGUGGAUGUCGAAGAAAGAGGGAGACAGGAGGAGGGGGCGGGUGAAGAGUGGGCGGUGUUGAUGUCUGUGAAGAGAGAGGAGAGAGAGGGAGACACUUUGUAGAGAACAAAAGGAAGAAAAACAAAAAAGAAGAUCAAAACCCUAAAGCCUAAGGGAAUAGGGCAACGAGAGAGAGGAGGCGGGAGGAGGUGAGUCGGGGGUGGGGUUGGCUGGCCUCGGGAGAAGCAUCGGGCAGAGGAGGGGGAAAAAAAACCCGAGGGGAGGGGGAAGAAAAAAACUGAGUUUUGUGUUAUCUUUUUCUUCUUUUUUUUCAAUUUUUUUUUUAAUGAUUUAACAGAAAAUUGGAUGAAAUGUUGAGAUGUAGACGGCAGGGGGAAAAUUGGCGAAAAAAAAGUGCAUAUCCUUAAUUUUCUAAAAAAAAAGAAUAGGGAGUUAAUCAAAAAUUAGGUACAAGUUCAGGGGGCAAAUCACUAGUAUACCCUUACUAUUAUAUAUAUAUAUAUAUAUAUACCUUUUGCAGUGGCAGAGUAGCCACUUUUUUUUUUUUUUUUUUUAAUAGAAACAUUGUGUUGAUAAUCAAGAGGAAAAACUCCUCGAUCAAGCAACAAAAACUAAAAUAAAAAGUGUCUGACCUACUAAGAUUGAAAAUAAUUCUGUAAUUAAAAAAAAACACAAAACUUCAGUAAAAUCAUCUUAAGACUGCCAUCAUGUCUCUCAUGAUGGUAGAGUAGUGAUAAUCCUUGAACUGCCCCGAAACCGAAGCCCAAAGAGAUGCCCAAAAUUUAAUUCUAUCCCAUAAUUCCUCAACCCUUACUCCUAUCAAUCAUUUUCCAUAUUAGUUUUUAUUAUUUCUCUCAUGUUUUCCAUGAUCGCUUUCAUUAUUAUAAAUAAAAAAAGUACUGAAAACUAUAAAUGAAAGUUACCAAACAGCCUGUAGGUAUUAUUGGAAAACUGAACAAAGUGGCCAUUGGGUUUAGCCGCUGGCCCAAAAUACAGAUGUGGGAAUUCUGCUACCCUGUCUUGCCCAAUGUGGGAGUUGGGUGUUCUUUAUUGUUAAAUUUCUAUUAUUGAAGUAAGUGUGCAUCAGUGCUUGCAUUCAGUUGUGCCAGGGUCCUCGUGGAUGACACUACUUUUCUAUCUAGCAACGAAUAUGGAUGGGUUAAUUUGUUUUAUGUGUUGGAUUGUUUUUGUGAAGCAUCAGGUCUGAAACUGAAUAAGAUUAAAUGCUCUUUAAUGGGAAUUAAUAUGGAGGAAGGUGUUAAAUAACUUGCACGCUAGCUCUUGUUUUUUAAUGUAACCAACGGCAAUAGACUAAACUAGCAAAUAUUAGAAAACUUAGAAACACAAGAAUUAUACUGGUUCGGCAGAACUUUUGCUUUCGUCCAGUUGUGACUUCUCUAGAUAGAGAAAUCACCUCUCUUUUGAUUAAUAAUAGAGAUUACAGAACUUUUGCAACCCUAGAACUAAUCUCAAAACUCUCGGCUGUCUCUCGCUGUUUUUCCACACCUAAAAUAAGCCUUGCCGCACCCUAUUAUAGAUAUAGAGUUGACUUACAUGUCCCAAGGCUGAUUAAAUUCCUAUUUCUAAGUGGAUUAGGAAAUUACACUUAUCCAAAUCCAAAUAGAUUGCUAGAAAUCCAAAACUAAAUUGAAUAAGGAAAACUGAAAUUCUAAUCACUCUACAAGAAUCGAUAUACCUCUAAUUUUUCUUAAACAAUCCUAAACCAAUUAGGACAUAUUUGACGAGCCAAAAUCCUAACAAUCUCCACCUUGGUGAGUCAAACCAAGUCUUGAUCGUUGCACCCCAGAGUAUCUUUGAACCUUCUUGAAGCAGCUUUGGAAAUCUUCAAGGGUCUUCACCUUGGCAAUCUUCUUCUUGCCUCAUUGCAGCUCAAGUGAGGAGGUGCUCCACUUUAAUCAAUCAACGAGAUUGAUCAAGUUCAAGCAAUGCUUGAACUUCUUGGCCGACACUAUCUUUGUAAGAAAAUCUGCGGCAUUGUCAUCCGUACGAAUCUUUUCAAUCCAAAUCUCCUUAGACUUCACUCAAUUUCUGGUUCUGUGAUAUCUUGCUUCAAUGUGCUUUGAUCUUCCAGAAAAAACUUGAUUCUUUGCCAAGUGAAUGGCACUUUGACUAUCACACUUCAACUUCACACAAUCUUGGGUGUUUCCUAUUUGACUUAACAAGCCACUAAGCCAAAUUGUUUCCUUUCCAGCUUCGGCCAAUGCAAUAUACUCUGUCUCUAUGGUCGACAAAGCUGUAAUUAGUUGCAGUAGUGCCCUCCAACUGAUUGGUCCUCAUGCGCGUGUAAACACACAAACAGAAGUUGACCUUCUCUUAUCCAAGUCCCCUGCAUAAUCGGCAUCCACAUAUCCCAACACCCCUGCAUUUUCUUUUUGCUUCUCAAACAUAAUCCUUUGUCGCCAAGAAUCCUUCAAAUAACACAAAAUCCACUUGACUGCAUCCCAAUGUUGCUUUCCUGGAUUUGCCAUGUAUCUGGAAACAACAGUGAUUGCUUGAGCUAUGUCGAGAAGUGUGCAUACCAUUGCACACAUAAGGCAGCCCACGACAUUAGCAUAAGGCACCUUCUCCAUUACUUGCUGCUCUUCCUCGGACUUAGGACACUGUUGUCCACUUAACUUGAAGUGAGCUGCCAAAGGAGUCGAGACUACCUUUGCUUCUUGCAUGUUGAACUUCUCAAGUACAUUCUGCAUAUACUUGGCUUGUGAUAUCCAGAUCCUUCCAGCGGUCCUAUCUCUCUGAAUUUCCAUGCCAAGGAUCUUUUGCGCUGCACCUAGAUCCUUCAUUCCGAACUCCUCGUGCAACAUGUGUAAGUCUUGAAUUCUAGACUUGUCUUGACAAGCGAUUAGCAUGUCAUCCACAUAUAGCAACAGCAAUGACAAUAUGAUCAUCCCAUCUUGGAACACAUGAUAGUACACGCAACAGUCAUAUAAACAUCUUCUAAAAUUGAUUUUCAGCAUGAAGUAAUCGAAUCUCUUGUACCACUGUCUUGGAGACUAUUUCAGGCCAUACAGUGACUUCCUUAGUUGACAUACUAGAUUCUCUUUCCCAUAUUCAACAAACCCUUAUGGUUGAGCCAUGAAAAUUGUUUCCUCUAGAUUCUCGUGGAGAAACGAUGUCUUCCCAUCCAUCUGCUCAAUCUCCAUGUCAUGCUGAGUUGCCAUUGCUAAAAGUAAUCUAAUAGAAGUAUGCUUGACUACGAGUGAAAGAUCUCAUCAUAAUCCACCCCUUCCUUUUGUGAGUACCUUUUAACCACGAGCCUGCCUUUGAAUCUCACGGCAUCUUGUUCAUGUAGUCCUUCCUUUUUCCUAAAUACCCAUUUGCAUCCCACUAGCUUUCUGCCUUUGGGCUUAGGAACCAACUCCCAAAUAGAGUUUGUGUAAAGAGACUCCAUUUCUUCUGUCAUAGCACUUAUCCAACUAUCUCGCUCAUCACUUGUUAUUGCUUCUCAAUAAGUAGUUGGAUCUCUUUGACUAAUUUUGAGAGCGUAAUUAACUUCAUCUUGGUUAAACCCAAACCUGUUAGGUUUCUUCUUGUUUCAAUUAGGUUUGUCUGGUGCUAUGCAUCUCUGGAAUGCAGGUGGAUUGUUGGUUAGAGUUCGAACCCUUUGGGAUGUUUGGUGGAUUAUAAUGCCUUCAAACUGUCUUGUUUCUGGCUCCACUUGAUUCCUAACUGUUGAACGAUGUUGAUGCUAUUCUUCCUCAAAACCAUCAAAUUCGGCAUCUUGCUCAAUUUGCUCCACCUGAGCUUAUUCUUCGUCUAAAUUGAUUAAUGGAACUUUUGUUGCUUCAAUUUUAGCAUCGUCUUUCUUCUCCCUACUACUCUCGACUUUAUUCAGAGGCAUGGUUGUCUCAUCAAAGACAUCAUCUCGGCUGACAACCUUUUUCCUAUUGUUGAUAUCCUAAAGCUUGAACUCUUUCACUCCUUUCUCAAAACCUAAAAAUAUGCAAUGUGUAGACUUUGGUUUGAGCUUGGACCUUUCAUCACUUGGAAUAUGUGCGUAAGCACUAUAGCCGAAUACCUUGAGCUUGGAAUAGUCCACCGGCUUCUCAGACCAUACCUCUUCUGCACUAUUAAAAUCAAGAACUGUAGAUGAGGAUCUGUUAAUUAAAUAACUUGCAUGAUUAACAGCCUUUGUCCAAAAACUAUCAGGCAAUCUUGCAUGAAAUUGCAUGCUCCUCUCUCUCCAUGAGAGUUCGGUUCAUCCUCUCAGCAACUCCAUUUUGUUGGGGAUUAUUCUUUACUGUGAAGUGCCUUAUGAUGCCUUCCUACUUGCACUAAUCGGUAAACUCAUUAUUUGUAUAUUCACCUCCAUUGUCACUUCUCAGGUACUUGAUCUUUCUUCCAGUUUGAUUCUCGAUUUCUGUUUUCCAUUUCUUGAACUGUGCAAAAACCUCAUAUUUCUGCUUCAUGAAAUAAAUCCAAACCUUCUUAGAAAAAUCAUCCAUGAAAGUAACAAAAUACCUAGCUCCAUUUGAUUUGGUUGGUGCAGGGCCCCAAACAUCUAAGUGAAUAUAGCUGAGUUGCUCCUUGCUUUGGUUAUCUGCAUUACUACUCGUGAAUGAUACCUUCCUUUGCGUUCCAAGAACAAAAUAUUCACAGAAGUCCAGUUUGCAAGAUGACAUGCCUUCCACAGGCCUUGCUUGUGUAAUUCUUGCAGCCCUUUCUGGCUUAUGUGCCCAAGCUUUUGAUGCUAGAGUUCAGUCUUGUCUUUUAUAUCUUGAUUUACAGAAACAACUGCUCCCCCGACUAUAGUGGUCUCAAUUAAUUUAUACAGCUUAUUAGGUUGUAGGUUACCCCACAUUACCACCAGUGAUCCUUUGGCUACCCUGAGUCUUCCCUUUUUAGACUUGUACCUAUAGCCGACCUCAUCUAAAGUACCCAAGGAAAUCAAAUUCUUUCUUAGUCUGGGGACAUAUCUAAUGUUCCCCAAAACUCAUAUCAUCCCAUCAAACAUUCUGAUUCGAACAGUGUCGAUUCAUUUUACAUUCAUGAAGAAUCGUCCCCCAUUAAAACUUCCCCGCUGCUGACUUCUUUGUAAGUUUCAACCCAUUCUCUUACUGCACACAUGAAAAGUGCAUCAGGUAUUCAAAAUCCAAUUUGUGAAAGCCUUGGAGCUUGAUGUUAUUGAAAGAAGCUCCCCGUCACUCUCAUGCUCAGUGACUGCACUAGCUGAACCUGAGCUUCCUUCCAACUUGGCUUUCUUCUCUUUCCAAAUCUUGCAGUUCCUCCACCAAUGAUCAGCUGAACCACAUUCGAAGCAACCUUCUUUUCCUUUUUCUUCUUGAAUUUUGACCUACCUCUGUUGCCUGUUUUCUCUUCCUUUGUCUUUUCACGCCCCCUCUCCUUGCCUUUGGCAUAAAGGCCUUGAGAGCUUUCAGUUAUAUCAUCUAGUUUAGCAUAUGACUGAAGAGCUUGAAUUAUGUCUUCAAGCUUCAGGGACUCAUUUCCAAACAUUAGAGUUGUUCGUAAGUGCUUGAAAGACGAAGAUAGAGAGCUCAGCAAGAUGAUAGCCAUAUCAUCAUCUUUGUAAGUUUUUUCAACCUUUUGAAGAUUAGUUAUGCAAUUCUGGAACCUGCAUAUGUGAUCUUCAAUAUCGCCUCCUUCUUCCAGUCGAAGUCCAAAUAGUUCAUCCUUCAAAAAAAGUUUAUUGGACACGGUUUUGCCCAUAUAAACAUUCUCCAACUUUUCCCAUGCUUUAUGGGCAGUCAUCUUUUCGGUGAUGUGUGACUGAACUAAUCUUGUGAGAUGGAUCUCGAUGGAAUUCUUGGCCUUCUUGAGAACCUUAGUCCAUGCUGCAUCUAUCAUGCUUGCCGGCUUCUCAUCGUUGAGUGCAUCAUCCAAAUCUUGCUGUAUCAGUACGUUCUUCAUCAUCCUUUGCCAGUCCGUGAAGUCAUCCUUGCCGUCAAAGGGCUUUAACUCAGGUCCUAAAUCCGCAUUCAUCUUCCCUUUAGACAUUGUAGAACCCCUUGAACCUGGCUCUGAUACCAAUUGUUAAAUAACCCGCACACUAGAUCUUGUUCUUUAAUGUAACUAACGGCAAUAGACUAAACUAGCAAAUAUUAAAAAACUUAAAAACACAUAAGAAUUAUACUGGUUUGGCAAAAAUUUUGCUUACGUCCAAUUGUGAUUUCUCUUCUAGAGAAAUCACCACUCCUUUGAUUAUAAUAGAGAUUACAUAACUUUUGCAACCCUAGAACUAAUCUCAAAACUCUCGGCUGUCUCUCGCUGUUUUUCCACACCUAAAAUAAGCCUUGCCGCACUCUAUUUAUAGAUAUAGAGUUGGCUUACAUGUCUCAAGGCUGAUUGAAUUCCUAUUUCUAAGUGGAUUAGGAAAUUACACUUAUCCAAAUCCAAAUAGACUAAUAGAAAUCGAAAAUUAAAUUGAAUAAGGAAAACUGAAAUUCUUUCCUAAUCCCUCUAGGACAAGAAUCGGUAUACCUCUAAUUUUCCUAAAACAAUCCUAAACCAAAUAGGACAUAUUUGACGUGCCACAAUCCUAACAUAAGGAAAAUUAGAAAGACUGGCUAAUUUGUGGGGAUGCAGAGUUGGUUUGUGGCCCGUUAAAUAUUUGGGACUUCCUAUGGGAGAAAAUCCAAGAGCCGAAACUUUCUGGAAUCCGGUCAUCGAAAAAGUUGAGAAAAUAUUGCAAAGAUGGAAAUCAACAUUCCUUUGAAGAGGGUGCAGAUUGACUUUGAUUCAAUCUGUCCUCGGAAGUUUUCUAACCUACUUUUUGUCUCUUUUCAAGAUUCCAAAAGGAGUGGCUAGCAAACUGGAAAGACUGAUUCGGAAUUUGUUUUGAGAAGGUGUGGGUGAUGGUAAGAAGGAUCAUCUUAUUAUAUGGGAAGUGGUUUCUCGGCCAGAAGAGAAGGGAGGUCUGGGUAUUGGCAAUCUGCUAGUCAAAAAUAAGGCAUUGCUGGGGAAAUGGCUUCGGCGAUUUCCACUUGAAAGAGAAUCCCUUUGGCAUGCAGUGAUUAGAAGCAAGCACGGGCUUAGCUAAAAUGGCUGGGAUACCAAGAUAGUUAUGAAAGCUUCAAGUAGAAAUCCUUGGAAAGAUAUAUCAAGUUUAUAGUUCUUUUUUAGGGUGUCGUCAGUUUGGGGUGGGAAGAAGGGAUAGAAUUAAGUUUUGGGAAGAUGUGUGGUUGGGAGAAAGCUCUUUGCAAAACUUAUUUUCCAGACUUUAUAAUUUGUCUAGAUAUCACAACAAGAAUAUUUCCAGUCUUUUGAAUUCUAUUACUGCACCCUUUGAAGUGGGACUUUGGUUUUCGAAGGAAUCUGUGAGAUGUUGAGUUAGGGUAGUUAUCAUCUUUUAUAUCAAGAUUGGAAUGGGUUCGGCUCCACCGCUCAAGGGCUGACACGAGAAAUUGACGUCUUGAUGCUGCAGGGAAUUAUUCCUUUAAAUCUUCCGUUGUUUUCUGCUUAACAAUGAGGUAGAUGACGUGUUCCAGCCAUACAGAUUGAAUUGGAAGUCUAAACCAGACCACCACCCCCAACUCUCUCCCCCUGCGAAGUGAACGGUUUUACUGGGUUUUUGGCUCAUGGGAAGGUCAACACUUGUGACAUGAUUCAAAGGAGACCAAAUUCCUGCCUUUGCCCCUCAAUGUCAGAGAAGCAUAAAUCCAAAAAAGGGGAAGAAAGCCAAGGUUUUAUGGGGAUGCAUUGUAUUGGCUGUUUUUUGAAGACUAUACUUGUCGCGAAAGAGAGGAGUUAUGGGAGAAAGUUAGAUUAUGGUCUUCACUAUGGGCAUCAAUUUCUACAGACUAGGAGAUUUAUCUGUUUGGAUUAUUUGGCUAGAUUGGAAAGCAGCCAUUCGCUAGUUUUCCAUGUUUUCUUUUGCUAGAAGUUUAGGAGCUUGUUUCAUCUAGCUGUUAUAUCUCUGUUUAGUUUUCUUUUUGUGGCCAUCUUGGCCACCACUGUAUUUUAUUGUUUUAUGCAAUAAAAUUUUGUUUCUUAAAAAAAACAUAAAAGUUGUGGCAGGGUCCUGUUUUAUUUAAAGGUUUGAAUUUCAUAAGAAAAGUCUUGAUAAUUUGUGAUAAGAAAUUAUAGUAUGCAUUUUUCCACAUAUUUCUCGUGGUUUAACAAAAGUAUAAGAAAUUAUAGUAUGCAUUUUUCCACAUAUUUCUCGUGGUUUAACAAAAGUUGUGAUUCACUUUCCUUUAUUUUCAGGUUCAGAUUCUGAACUUGAUUUCUAUUCUUAUUGGACACAUGAGCGAAGUUAUGCCAUUUGCAAACAAGCUAAUUCUAUUUUUUCAGAAGGUAUGAGAACAUUUAUUUUGUCUUCAGUCUUCUAUUGUUUCUUCUACUGUUCUAAAUGUCACAGUACCUAAUGUACUAGAAAGGAAUGAUUUUUAAAAUUGAUUUUGGAAAAACAUGCGAUACUGUUGAGUAACUUGGUUGUUUAAAAGUACACAACAGAUAGGCAAGCAGAAUGCUUUGAUUUCUCUCUCUCUCCCUCUCUCUGCCUCACACGCACACACACAUUUGAUAAGUCUUUUCUUUUGUUUCUUUGCAAAGGUUUGGGAGGAAUCUUCCGGUGAAUGUCUUCUGCAGAUUCAACUUCUUGUUGCUUUGAGAAACUUUGUGGUUGCACUUGGCUACCAGUCGCCAAUUUGCUAUGACAUAUUGCUGCCUAUUCUGCAAAAGGGAAUUGAUAUAGAUAGCCCGGAUGAACUCAAUCUUCUAGAGGACAGCAUGCUGGUUUGCCUAUUUAAGUUUGUCUUUAAUAUUUUACCAGCCGACAUUAUCAUUGUAAUUUUCAUGCUAAAUGCAGUUAGCUUAAUGUGCAGUUAUGGGAAGCCACACUUUCUCAUGCUCCUUCAAUGGUGCCUCAACUACUAGCAUACUUCCCAUGUGUAGUAAAAAUCAUGGAAAGAAGUUUCGAUCACUUGCAGGUUAGAAAUUUUGAUCCUGCAGGGCCUGUCUGUUCUGCAUAUUUUCUGGUCUUAUUGUUCUGGAACUUGUCUGAUAUUGUGUGUUAUUUUAUCAUUUAACUCCACUCUCAAUCUGCCAACCCAUGGAUGCUUAGUAUAGCGUGGGGUACACUGGUAUUAGUUGCACUAUAAUUAACUAGUUAUAGUAAUAACCAUUUGCAUUGGUUUUGAAAAUUUAGAGACAGGUUUACAUGUUUGUGCAUUAUCAACAUAUCAAAAAACUUUUUAACUUUUAUGAGAAACAAGGACUUCAUUAAAGUCGAUAAGUUACAAAAUAGUGUGUUGUGGUGGAUAUUGUCCACCAUCUAGACAGCAUACAAGACAACAUCUCUUAGUAUUGUUUUCAAAGGCGCCUCGCUCACCUUAUUGAGGAAGACGUAUGCUUCUGGAUAAAAGGUGAGCCACACACACCUUGAGGACCCUCUGGGAACUUUUUUGUUUUUUUUGUUUUAAAGAACAUGAAGACCCCACUCCACUCCUGGAGUUAAUCAGAUCUUCUCCAGGUCUUCUUCUCUUGGUUUCUUCUUCGGACCUUCUUCUUCUAAGGGGUCUUCUUCUCUGGGUUAUCUUCAUCUAUGGGUCUUCUCCUCGGUUUCAAAAUCAGGGGGAGUUUGGGUUAUGUCUUUUGAGUUUCUUAGUUUCUUAGUUUUGCAUAGGGGCAGUUCAGAUGUGGUAGUGAUGUAUUCUUAUCAGUUUAAUGAAGUUGAUGUGUGGCUAUCACGAAGGCAACGUAGCAGCUGUAUCAUAUUAUCAAGAAAAUCAGUUUUACAAAAAAAAAAAAAAAAAAAAAGGAAAUAGCAUGCGCACUAAUAAACAUAAUAUGUGGACUGAAAUAUUAAUAGAGAAAGACUAAGCAAAAUACGAAAAGACUGCUGGUAAUAAAAGACUUAUAAUAAAUUUUAAAAGGAAAAAAAUACUUGUGAUGAAAUAUAAAAGUUCUCACAAAUUAUCUGCAAUUUGUACUAAUUAUAAUUACAAAUUAUAACUUUUCCCUAGAACUUCCCCCAAAAGUCUCAAUCAAUAACAAUACGCAUGACGCUUAAAUAACCCAAUUCACUCUCACUACUCCAACUCAAAGGAGAAGAGGGGACUGAUGUGAAAAGGAUAUACAUAUGGGAGAUUCUCUUAACUAGUUAUGUUCCAGAAAUAUGAAUCUCCCCAUUCCCCACAAUGAGACUAAUAUUUUGAGAAAACAAGUCAACUCCUUGCGAUAUGUUCUUCCAAGGCCUCCUACAAGACCUCUGCUUAUCAAAUUAGAGUGCCAUUCAUUAGCUUCAAGACUAUAUCUGCUUUGAAUGAUUGUGUUUCAGUGAAUCCCACUCCAGAGGAAAUCUCUAAAGGUCAGUUAGGCUGGCACAAGAACGCCACUGGCCUGCAGAAUUAAAAUGGGCAUGCCACGGCUUGAGCAUCAAGUCGGCAGGGAGUGGGCACCCAUGUUGUACUAGGUUGAGAUAUUUGGCCCAUCAGAUACGACUUGAAAUGGUCCCGUGUUAGGAAAGAGCAAAAAGGGUCUCGUGCCAAUAACACGCAUGAAACCAUGUACUAAGCACAACCCGUUUAACAUUAUCAAAUAAAUCACAACUCUAUAACAAGUGCCAUUGUUUAAUCUGAUGAAUCUCAUAACCACCAGCUUGGUAUAAUUACUUUGUUUUCAGUGUUUUCUUUUCUAUAAUUUCAGAAGUCAAUAAUGUAUCAAAUGUUUUGUUUUAUUGACUAUGUUUUUUUUUAAGAAGAUGAACGAUUUUAUUAACGAACAAACAAAGGAAGUACACAAACGGGAACAAAGAACAUUAAGACCUAUGAAGCUAUAGGCCCCCCCAAAGAUACAGAACUAAGAGGCUACAAUACCCAGCACAACACUAAGACAGAAAGAGAUAGAAAUACAGAAAGAGAUUACAGCACAGCAGCUACUAAAUCCCGCACUAUAUAGGAGUAGGAAUAAUCCUUGAAUGCCGUCGUAAUGGAUGCCCAUAGUGCCGCCCAGAAUUUGACUCUCUCCCAAAUCUCUAACUCACUCCCGCCGCUGUAAUCAUCGAAAAUCAUUCUAUUUCUCUCAUGCCAAAUAUUCCAGAGCAGCGAAUGCCCUAGACAACCCCAUAAAAUUAAGGCCUUCUUUCCCUUACAAAGGGCAUCCAACCGAGUACUGAUUAGGGAGAAACAAUCCUUAGGUAUUACCCAGAUGGCCUUAACCUCCCUUAUUAAGGACCACCACAGGUUUAGAGAGAAGGGACAGUGUAAGAACAGAUGAUCUGCAUUUUCCUCAUGCCCCUUGCAAAGAACACACCAAUGGGGAGACAGACACAUAUACGGACGUCUCCUUUGAAUCAUGUCACACGUAUUGGCUUUCCCAAGGUAACCAACCAAAGAAAAACUUUAACCUUAGGCGGAGAACUGGUUUUCCAGAUAAGGGGGUGCGGGGGAAACGUGUCCACUAAACCAUUAGAAUGAAGAUAUGACGAAUAUGAUUUGCAAGAGAACACGCCAGAUUCAUCAAGCAGCCACCUUCUCCCAUCCGACCUAGCUCUAGAUAAUCUGACAUGCCCUAGGAUACCCAACAAACUUAUAGCUUCAUCUAACUCCCUGUCAUUCAGGUUUCUUCUGAACCCAAAAUCCCAAUUAACAGGAACGGAGUUGUUAUCCACAAAAUGUGAAAUGCUUAGUAGUUGUUUUGUGGACACCGCAAACAAUCUAGGAAAUAGAUUCUUUAGCACUCCUUCGUUCACCCAUGAAUCCUCCCAAAAUCUCACUCUUUUUCCAUUGCCGACCACCAAGCUACAACAUUCAUGAAAGGUCUGGUACCCAUAAGAGAUGUCCUUCCAAGGGUUACAUGAGGAACCAAUAGUACCAGAUUUAGCAUCCCAACCAUUCGAAGACGUCCCGUAUUUGCUUUUAGUGAUAUUAUUCCACAAAGACCGAGGCUCCAGCGGGAAUUGCCACAACCAUUUAGCCAUCAAAGCUUCAUUUUUUUCUUUCAAAGCCCCCGCACCCAAACUGCCUUGCAGCGUAGGUUUGGCACAAUAUCCCACUUUCCCAAAUGGUCCCUCUUUCCUUCUUCCGUACCUUCCCAAAGAAAGUUUCUCAUAAUCAUCUCCACCUUUUUUAUCACCCGAUUAGGCAUCUUGAAAAGGGACAUGAAGUACGUAGGCAUGUUACUUAACACUGCCUGAAUCAGAGUUAAUCUUCCACCUUUUGAUAAGAAGGCUUUUUUUCCAUUUUUCAAGUCUUGUUUCAAUCUGCUCUAUUAUUGGUUCCCAGAAAACAAUAGCUCUAGGAUUUCCACCAAGAGGGAGUCCCAGAUAAGUCAUACGCCAGUUUCCUACCUCGUAUCCCCAAUCAGCGGCCAACCUUGCCAAAUAAGGUCCGCUACAGUUAAUUCCCAAUACUGAAGAUUUAGAGCUAUUGAUUUUCAUACCAGAAGCCAAACAAAAGUUAUCAAGCAGGUCAAGAAGGUUAAACCAAUAGUCCUCCUUGUCAUCCAGAAAGAAGAUGGUGUCAUCUUGUAGAUGAGACACCUCAACUCGAUCACGUCCACUGUGGAUCAAAUUAUGAUGUUGUGCUGCUUCCAAAAGGCAGCUCAGCACGUCAAUCACCAGAGUGAACAGAAAAGACGAUAAUGGAUCUCCUUGCCUCACCCCUCUAGAAACCUUAAAUUUGCCUCGUGGCUUCCCAUUUAUCAUGAUUUAGAAAUUAACAGAAUCUAAGCACCCUCUCACCCACUUUCUCCAUCUUGAUCCGAAUCCUUUUCUGACCAGAACUUCAUCUAAGAAAAUCCACUCUACGUGGUCAUAAGCCUUCUCAAAGUCAAUUUUGAAGACUAGCCCAGAUUUAUUAAGCUUUUUGGUCUAUCCACUCUACGUGGUCAUAAGCCUUCUCAAAGUCAAUUUUGAAGACUAGCCCAGAUUUAUUAAGCUUUUUGGUCUCCUCAACGACUUUGUUUGCCACCAAUACUGCAUCCAAAAUCUGGUUUUAUUGACUAUGUUAUCAUGUAUGUUAUUUUCAUUCAUCAUUUUAUCAAACAACAACUUUGGAAAUAGGUCAAGUGAUUUCACAUCUUUAGAAAUCUCUUCAACCACUUGCUUACCAAAGCCACAUUCCUCUUAAUCAAAUUUCCAGCUCCUAUGCCUCCUAUUACUUGGGAAUUGUACUUACAAAGUUUGGUACAUGGUUAUGAUUUUUUGACUGGAAACAUAUUGUAAUACAUGGAGACGAGGGUAAAACCAAAAUUACUCUGUUGGAGCAUUUUUUUUCCUUCAAUUCUUGUCAUUUAGUCCACGUGGCAAUUUGACAUCCCCUUUGGUGAUGCUCUUAUUGCUGGCCUGUAUAACAGAAUUGGAUAUAGAGAUACUCCACUUUUGAAAUUUCCAUUUGAUUGGAAUCUAAGGACCAUAUCAUAUUUGCCAAGCAAAGGACACCUUCAGGAAAAGCAUAACCGAAGUUGGUAGAACGGUUUUCUUGAAGAAUAACGUAAAGCAGGGUUUAAUGGAUAUUCUGAUGACAAGAAAUUUGACAUUGUUUCCAUCAGUGUAGUCCAAUAUUGAUUUUGUUAUUUUGUGAAUUGCAAAGAUGUAUCCCUGACCUUUUUUCUUGAAGUGGAUUAUAUUUAAAUUAAAAUGACUUUUCUAUGUUUACAUUGCUGGUAAGGGCUGCUGUUCUCCAUUUGUUCAAUGCUAAUUUUUUAUCUCCAUGUUAUUAAUAACUUGUUUUACUAAGUAAUACUCAAACUGAAUCUAAACCACAUUACUUAUGCAAACCAAGUAUUAGGAUUGGUUUUUUCACAUGGUUGUAGAUCUCUGUAUUAGUUUUCUUGUUUCUUUCUGUUAUUGGUGGAUUACUUGUCCAAUUUUCUGUAUGGUGUUUUUUAUGAAAUAUAAUUUCUCCUUUUCAAAAAAAAAAAAAGAAAAAAAAAUCUUGCUAACUAUACGGGAGUCCUAUUUGAGUAGCUGUCUUCUCUUCAGUUGCAUAUCAUGGGAAAAUCUGUUGCUCGAUUAGUUGUAGAGAUUCCAAUGUAAUUAUAGCUGCAUUAUCUUCAUUUCUUGGUUUUUGUUUGCUCCAAUCUUUUCCCAAAAAAUUUAUAUGUUAGAAGUUUUUCUUCUCUCUCUCUCCCCCUCUUUUUCUCGGCAUUUAUUCUGUUAUGCUUUGUUAUGUUUGUACUUUAUAAUAUCUUAACUCAAACUUCAUUGCAGAUUGCUGUCAGUAUAACUGAGGAUUACAUUAUCUUAGGCGGAUCUGAAUUUCUAAGUAUACAUGCUUCAAGUGUUGCUCAAAUUCUAGAUCUGGUUGUUGGAAAUGUCAAUGAUAGAGGACUACUUUCAACUCUUCCUGUCAUUGAUAUUCUAAUACAGGUACUGAUCAAAACUUGCAAGUGAAGAUUAGACAGUAGAAUAACAGGCCAUUUAGACAACUCGGGGAAUCAACUAUGCCUUUCUAAUUGUCCUAUUAAUACAUGCUUCGUCUACUCCUAAACACUGAGAAAGUUGGAACUGCCAAAGCUUUCAACUUGUACAGAAUUUCGAGUUAUUAUGUUAUAGACACGUUUUUCUAUAGAUUGCUUAAACAAAUAAUCUUUUAUGCUCUUAGAACUGGCACUAUUAUGAUAGACCUCAAUAUAUUCGUCCUUUUAAAUACCAACUCGUUUUUGUUGCUUUGCAGUGUUUCCCGUUAGAAGUGCCCCAGUUGAUCAGCAGUACAUUACAAGUGAGGUCCUUUGCUCUUAGAUCUUUGAUAAUCUUAUUUUGAAGUAUUUCAUUUUUUUUCCCCAAGAAAGAAUUUAUAUAAUGUUAUGCCUUUGGGAGCCCUUCUUAAAGCUAGAAUUCCUUUCUGUUCAAUGUUGCUAGAAAUUAAUUGUUAUAUGUUUGAGUGGAGGCGACGACCAAGAUCCUUCUAAGACAGCUGUUAAAGCAUCUUCAGCUGCCAUCCUGGCAAGAAUUUUGGUCAUGAAUACCAAUUACCUAGCCCAUUUGACAUCAGAACCAUCACUUCUGUUGCUCCUUCAGAGUUCGGGUAUCCCAACUGAGGAAAAUGUACUUCUUUGUCUUGUUAACAUAUGGCUUGACAAGGUUAGUACAGUACAACAUGCGUCUCUAUACAAGGAUACUUCUGAGGAUUGUUGAUUUUUCUCUCUUACUAUAUCCGACCAUUUGUAUCAUGCAUGUUCUGAGACACCAGUGUAGGGUGUUCUAUGAAUUUGCAAUAUAUAUUUUCAUGCAUAGGAGUGAGCUCUGUUCCGUUGGAUUCCCAUCUGAAACUGAUUCAAAAUUGUCACAACCCAGCACUAACCAAAAGCCAAGCCAACCCUGCCCAAUAAAAACAGGUCGCCAGGUCAGGUUGGGUAGCAAAUCAGUUUAUAAUAUAGGCUUUAAAUAAAAUAUAGGUUUAAAAAGAAUAACUUAAUGGGUCCAAGAGCCCAUACAAGCCCAACAAGAAAUUGCAAGAAACUUCGUUGGGCAGAAGACAGACAAGUAAAAGCUCCUAUAGGUGAAAUAUAACAUAGGCAUGCUUUUAACACCAAACACUGCCCAAAAACACAUUGCAAGAAACUUUGUUGUGCAGAAGACAAAUGAGUAAAAGAUCCUCUAGGUGAAAUAUAACAGAGGCAUGCUCUUAACACCAAACUCAGCGUAGAUGAGUUGGGCAAUUGGCAUCCUAAGACUGAACAAGUCCUAGGUUCCAUUACUAUCAAGCACAACGAUGGACUUUUCAAAAUCAUAUAAUGCUGUUUCAAGUUGAUGUAAUGUUGUUUCAAGUUUGUUAUUUUGGGUAUUAAAAUGACCUAAUCCGGCAAUGAGUAGACUUUUGUGGGUUGAAAACGUAUUGAUUCGAUUCAACUCGCCACGAUACAGAAAGCCAAACCAGACGGCUUGGGUUGGAUCAGACAGGUUUGUCUGGUGGGUCAGAUAAAAUGCCCACCCCUAGAGUGUGUGUGCAUUGUUUGUUUUUUAUGAGAACAAGACAUAUUGUUAUAACUCAGUAGUGCUUGUAGACAUUGUUCUUUCAGAGUCGAAUAUAUUUUAUAUAAAGUCGUUUUGCUCUAUAGUUAAUCGAAAGGAAUUAUUUCUGAAAUUAGUUUUUCAAAGUUUUUUUAUUUGUCCUCCCUCCACCCUUUUUCAUCUCUCCCUCUCCCAUAUAUUUCCUCCCUAUAUCUAACAAUAAAAAAUGAAACCUAAAAACGAAAAAGGUUACCAAACAGGCCAUUAAUUUUUCUGUAUUCUGUAAUAUAAUGUUAAAUUCUACAUUCAUAAUACAUUGUACAUUUAACGCAUUUUUGUUAAAUAUAUGAUUGUUGUAAUGUAUGUGGUCAAAAAUAUAUUUAUAGUGCCAAGGCAACCCUAAUAAGAGAUAAUGUGCUGUGCCAGAGAGCAUAGCAUAGCUCACUCCAGGUAUCGUUGUUUUGGAAGUUCUUGUGCUCUAUACAUGUUGAAGUGAAGAAUUAAAGCUGUUCUUAUGGAAAAUGAAUAAAUGGGAAUGAGCAGGAUUUCCUGUAAAUUAAUUUAUUAUUGCCUUUCUGGUGUGUUUGUCAAAAAAAAUUUAAAUUUUGGUCACAGGCAGACAAUGUAUCUUCCAUCCAAAGGAAGACGUAUGGCUUAGCUCUUUCUAUAAUUCUGACAUUAAGACUUCCUCAAGUCCUCAACAAACUUGAUCAGAUCCUGAGGUAUGAGUUUCACCAUGAAUUCGGUCAGUCAUCUCUUUUCUGAUUAUUGGAUGAUCUUUAUAAAAUGUUGCUUAUUUAUACACGCAGUGUGUGUACAACUGUAAUUUUGGGUGGCAAUGAUGACUUAACAGAGGAGUCAAGGUUAGAUCCCUUGUGAUUCUACUUUGAUUUGCUUGCCCAUAUCAAACAACUAUAUUUCUCAUAAAUUUUUCCCAAUCAACAACAGUGGUGAUAAUAUAACCUCCAGCGGAUCCCUUAGUAAGGGCACCAUUCCAAGUAAAGAAUUCAGAAGAAGACAGGUGAACCACCCUUCAUUCUUCUCCUUUGUGGUCCAUGGCACUCUUCUGAUAUUACCUGUGAUUGCUGUAGUCGCUGAUUAAAUAAAUUCAUGAGGUAAUAUUUUCCUGAUGAAGUUAUUAUAUCCCACUAUAGCUCAAGUUUUCAGACCCUAUCAACCAAAUGUCUCUAGACGCUUCAGUGAGGGAAAAUCUUCAGACAUGUGCUACCCUUCAUGGAGAAUCUUUUAAUAAGGCCAUUGGAUGCAUGCAUCCCUCAGCAUUUUCACAACUAAAGCAGGCAUUAAAGAUGGCAUAGCUGGCUUUCAUACCUUUUAUGUUUCCAAUUGAUUGGUGGUUUCGUGUUCAAGCCCUUCAUAUUUUCCUUUUUCUCCAAUGUGAAAACGAUAUGAGGUGAGUUCUUCAAUACUCGUAACCAUGCUAUGUCUAAAUAUCUCAGGGGAAAGGUAAAAAGGUAAACUUUUGGGUUGUGGCUGGGCAACACAAAGGAUUUUAGAAGGUGAACCUUCCCACCAAAAAGGUAGGAGAUAGCUAGGGGAAUGGAGGUAGCAUAUGUCCUUAAUGAAAUUGAGAAAGUAAAUAAUGUGUUAGCUCAUUAUUAUGUUAGAUGGGUUAAAUCAUCUAUUCAUCAAGAGUAUGCUUACUUUUAGCUAAAUUCAAAUUAUCAGAAUUGUGAUCUUUUUGAAAGAGCGGAACUUACCUCGGCCAUAGUUUAAAGACAUUAAUUUUCUCUUUUGAUGUAUUGUUCCAAUUGUAUUGAACGAGUACUGCUCGUGUUGUUAAUUAGUUCUCUCUGUGCACUGUCCACUGUGCGCAUACAUGGUUUUUGCAGUAUCUGACACAUGAUAAAUUUCUCUCCAGGUGAAUGAAGUUUGAAGCUUCCGGAUUGCUGGUCCCUAUAUUCAUUGGUUUUUAAAGUCUUUUGGGCUGGAUUUUGAUGUCCGAUUGUAUCUUGAAUUUCAUUUGCAUAUGCUCUCUUAGGCAACAAGAGACUGUAUAUAGCUUGUCAAUCUUUUGUCCUUGGAUGCACAGGGUUUUACGGCAUUGAUUCCAUUGUCAUAUGAAAUUGAAAAUUAUAGAAAUGAGAAAAAAAAAAUAAAAAAAAUACACGCAAAAGCAAUUCAUGAGCAACCAAUCUUUGAUAUCCCUUGUUAUUCAUUGCGUAGCAAAAACACUCCCAAGUUCAAAAAUUAAAAUCUUUUUAUGCUACAGCUAACUAAGUCUAACAUAGUGAAAAAGGAUCUUGACAUUGUUCUUUGGUCCAAACCUCCAUGGCACUUGUGUGUGUGAGAGAAAUCUAGUUUAAACCAUCGCUUGUAUUUUUUCUCUUUUUGAAUAAAACCCUUUUUAUGCUCUACUUUGAAUGUGGAAACUAUAUGGUGUUUUAAAAUGAAAGCUUCCUUAUUUUUUCUUCUUUUUAUUUUCUAAAUAUUUUAGUUUUUAAUAAUAAUAAUAAUAAUAAAUUAAAGGCUUAUUUACUGUUUCACCCCCUAAAACAAACGUUCGGUUUUACUUUACUCCCUUAAACUAAAAAUUUUCUCACUUAAUCCUUUGAAUUUCUAAAAAUUGCUGAAAUUUUCUCACUUUACCACUUCCAUCCACAAAAUUGUUAAGUAUGCUCAUGUGGUAUGGGCAUUCUAGUAAUUUUACUUAUCUUCUCUCUCUCUUUUCUCUCCCUCUGCCUCUCUCUUCUCUCCCCUCUCGAACCCAACCUCCAUUGCACCCCCCUCUCACCCUGUCCCCCUCGCCCCUCCUCCCUCUCCAUUGUUCUCUCUCCUCUAUGCCUCUUUCUCCUCACUACCUCUCUCUUCUCUCCCCUCCCCUCACCAUAACAAAACCCAACCCUCCAUGGAAUUACUCAACACACACAAAUCACCACCACUCAAAAAAAAAAAUUUAAAAAAAACAUCUCAACAAUCACUCCCCAUCUUCUAUCUUUGGAAGGAGGGGGUGGGGUGCAAUGGAGGUGAGAGAAGAGAGAUGCAAAUGGAGGGGAGGGGUUGGGAUGCGUUGGAGAUGCGCUGGGGGGUUGUGUCUAGGGAGGGGAGGGGAGGGGAGGGGAGAGGAGAAAGAGAUUGGGAGAAAAGAGGAGAUAAGAGGGAGGAAGGGGUGGGGUUGGGGUGCGAUGGAGGUUGGGUUCGGGAUGGGAGAGAAGAGAGAGGCAAAGGGAUAGAGGGAGAGAGAAGAUAAUGAGCAGAAUGCCCAUGUCACGUCAGCACACUUAACAAUUUUGUGGAUGGAAAUGGACGAUAGUGGUCAAGUAAUAAAAUUUUAGCAAUUUUUAGAGUUUCAAGGGGUUAAGUAAAAAAAUUUCAGUUUAGAAGACUAAAGUGAGACCAAGCAUCCGUUUCAGGAGGUGAAACAGUAAAUAAGCCUAAAUUAAAUAGUAAGUCACCUGAAAGACACAUAAUUUUUAGAUGGAAAAGUGGAUGAUGUUCAAAAAAUUUAACAAUAUGGACUAAAUUGACUGUUUUAAUAAAUUUAAGUGCUAAAUUAGCUGACUUUUUAAUUCAGAGAGUUAAAUUCGAUUAGAAUUAUACCUGGGGAUAAAACAGCUGAAAAUCCUUUCAAACAUUCAGUUGGAGUGUCGGGAAGAAGCAAAGGCACAAGCAGAGCAAGAGCAGGCCCGGGUGCAAAACAAAAACUGAUGGGUUGUGGGUGGAUUCGGUUUGAUGUGGAGCCCACGCGGAGAAUAAGUCAAUAUCUUCUGCUACAUUCAACUCUUCAUUUAAUUUCAACGCCUUCUCAAGUCAGACAGGGUAGCAUUGUGAAAUAUUUGGAAAAUUCCAAAUACGCGUGUGCUUGUGUCACUUAUUCGUGCUUACGACAGUUGUCCAUCGUAAUCUUCUUCUUCGUCUUCCAAGAGAAAAGUAGCAAUUAGUAAUCAAUUCCUGAAUUUCGUGAACGAUCCAAUAUCGAUUGACUCCUCUCUGAGAAAUCUGUUGUGAUAUAGAAGCAAGAACCUCUUAUCUUUCUAUGAUUGUCUGAGAAAUGAGUAAGAAGUCAGAAGAAACAGAAGCUUCAGCUUCCCGCAUCACUAGAGGAACCAGCUUCCUUGACAAGAUAAAGGUCUCUCUCUCUCUCUCUCUCUCUCUCUCUCUCUCUCUCUCUCUCUCUCUCUAUACUUGAUUUUGAUUGCUGAGAAUUGUUUCUAUUAUUUUACGUACAACUACUUCUGGAUGUUUACUUUCGAUCUCAACUUCACUUUAACUUAGAAUUCUUUGUCUCCUUGAAUUCAAUUUUAAUUACAGCUGCUGGCUUAUCCAUACCCUGCCCCGGAGUGCGUUUAUUAAUUACUAGGGUUUUACAAUUGCAAUCUAUGCUAAGCCCUAAGCUUCCCUUCUGUCCAAUUUGGCUUGCAGAAUGCUACAUGCCUUAAUUCUAUAACUAUUGUUUAUUCAUACUAUGGGCUAUAACUAUUGUUUAUUCAUACUAUGGGCUAUAACUAUUGUAGUUACAAAUCCCAUAUCCAGAGAUAUUUCCACCAUCCUGAUUCCUAAAAGAUUGAGAGCUAAUCAACCAUGCCGAGCGAGAAGUAGAAAGCCCCCAUUAGUUUGGUAUUACUGUGAUCAAUUUAGACUUAUCAUCAUAAUUUGUUUAAUUGGCAUUGCAGAGUGCUACAUGCCUUAAUUCGUCGUCUUCAGACUCAGGAAAAGGGAGAAGCAAGUCCUCUUCUAUCAGAGUGGCCCAUGGGUUCCAUUUAGUCCAAGGAAAAUCUGGUCAUGAUAUGGAGGACUACCAUGUUGCUGAGUACAGAAAAAGAAAAAACCACGUCCUUGGAUUGUUUGCUAUCUUCGAUGGUCAUUUAGGCGAUCGCGUCCCUACUUAUUUGAAAGAAAACCUUUUCAACAACAUAAUUGAAGAGGUAUACCUUCCCACCCAUUCCAUAUUCUUGUGUACGUACACAAAUAACAGACAAAAGAUAAAGAUAAAGAGUUUUGCUGCUUUCCUAAUAAUUUGAUUUAUCUUUCUGUUGUUUUUGUUUUUCAACUAUAACGCUUACGGUAGUAUUAAGAAUGUCAUUACUGGUAGCAUACUUAGUUGGUUAUCUUCCCCGUACAAUCAUGAUUUCUUUAUUUGAACUGAAAUUGUAAUCUGAAUUGUAACCAAGAUAGGAUUUAGCCCAUUCUCUGUCCUUGUCCAUGCAAUAUUUGUACUCAAAUAUUCAUACCAACUUUAGGUUUCUCGUUGCCUAGUGACUACUUAUAUUAAGUCAAUUACAAGACUCAGUAGUUCUUUCCUUAUCUGGUCAGUACAUUUGUAUUGAAAGCUGUAACUGUUGAUGCUCUCAAAUCACUUUAUUUGGUCAAUUUGUUUUUUUUCUUCUUUUAUGCAUAUGAUACAGCCCAGUUUCUGGAAAGACCCCGAGACAGCAAUAAGGAAUGCUUACUGCUCCACAGAUAAGUUUAUUUUAGAUCAUUCCAUGCAAUUAGGGCCAGGUGGGUCGACUGCAGUAACUGCAAUAGUCAUUGACGGCAAAGACUUAUGGGUCGCAAAUGUUGGUGACUCAAGAGCUGUUGUGUGUGAGAGGGGUUCUGCAACCCAACUUACUGUGGACCAUGAGCCACACAGUGAGCGAAGAAGGAUUGAGAAGCAGGGUGGUUUUGUGACUACUCUUCCGGGUAAAGAUAUUUAAGUUAAUUCAUUUAACCUUAUUACCGAGCUUGUUUAUAUAUCAGUAUAUAAUUGAUAGUGGGAUUCUUAAUUUCUUACCACUUGUAUAAUUUUUCUUUUGCUCUUGAGUAUAUAAUUAGAUUUUUUUUUUUCUUUCCUUACUUAGAUUAAUAUUCUAAUACUCUUUCAGGAGAUGUACCUAGAGUUAAUGGUCAACUUGCAGUUGCACGUGCUUUUGGGGAUCAAAGCCUUAAAGCACAUUUGAGUUCAGAGCCUGAUGUAAGACAUGUGCCCGUAGGCUCCACUAUUGAAUUUGUUAUAUUAGCAAGUGACGGAUUAUGGAAGGUCAGUUGGUAAUUAAUAAAUGGUCUUCUUUCCCUCUCUAUCGUAUCUUUAUGGCCUAGAUCAUAUAUUUGACAAUUUAGCAAGAUAAUGGAAUGUUUAGGCUUAAAUUUUUUGGAUUCUAUUGAAAAAAAAAUUUGAAUGUAGAAUAUUUGUAUUUUGAUUAGCAUUUUUUCCACUUUUCAAUUGCAUGUGAAAUGAGAUUAUCUUAUAAAUGAGACCCUGUGACUCUUACUCAUCUUAUAAUUUUUCCUUACUAUGUGCCAAAUAGUGUGUCUAAUAAUCUUUUUUGGUGAUUGUGAUUAUAUUGACUCGAUGCUAGAUUAUUAAUUGCUCAGUCAAAGGGAGGAAAAAGCUUCAGUGAAAAAAUGAAUUGAAUUUGUAGUAAACAUGGAAAAUGUGUAAUUAACUUAUUAGCACUAGGCAAAAGAUAGGCAGAAUUUUUUAUUUAUAACAUAUGUAAAUAAAAUGCAUAACCUUUUCUUGAUUUUCCUAUAGCUUUGAAUUAAUGAUUCAAGCUUUUCUGUGAAGCAAAAUUGUGUUGGGUGGUUCCUCCGUGCAUCUACAUUACUAUUUAUUGGGACCUUUUGCUCUUUUGGUUGAGGGAACGAUGCAAAGGUUUCAUGAGAUUGUAGAGUUUUGACCUUUUUUUUGGGUGGUCUAGUUGGAGAGAAAUAGCAGCAUCUGUGAAGGUAAAAAGUAGGGAGGGGGUGGAUUUUUUUUUUAUGGAAUAUGAUUAGAUUUUAGGCAUCCUUGUAGGUGUCACAUAUUGAGGAUUUGAAAGAUUGUCCUUCUUGCUGAAUGGGAAUGGGAUACAGCAGUUUUUAAGGUUAUUUUUCUGUUUUCUUUCUAUAAAAAUAAGUUAGAACUGUCUAAGAUGCAACAGCAAGGUGUUGUUUGCGAAGACAUAAUGCCAUUACCAUGUAGUAUCAAAACACCUUAGGCAUUACCAAUGCGGGAUUACCACAGUGGUUGUGGCCCUCCCCUUCCCCCCUGCUUGGCACCCAGGAUCGAAACCUAAGGGUUUCUUUCCUCCCCAUGUAACCAAAAAAAAAAAAAACACACCUUAGGCAUUUAAAGCCCUAUAGCAAUAAUGCUAUAAAUUUUCGGAGUGAGAAGGGUAAGAAUUAGCUAAAGGCUCUGUUUCGUUAGAUUUGUGUUUGCUUGAAUGGUUGAAAUUAGUUGAUUUGGAUAAAGUUUGUUGGUUUACCAUCAUUCCCAAACACUUAGGCUAUUUUGAUAUGGGCAGACAAUUAUUUCAUAUUCUAAACACCUUCUCCUCCAUUAGAGCCCAACAUGUGCAGUUCAACUUAAUAUUGUGACGUUGUAUUUUCAGGAAUCAAACUUAGGAUCCCCUAUAUUGACUAAUUAGUUCUUAAAAUUACAAUAAACCCAACUUCUUCUGACAAAAUUGCAAUUAAUCAUUACGUUGACUUUAGGAUACGUGUGUCGAUUGAUACGGAUAUCCAAAAGUCAAAUGGAUACGGAUUUGAAUUAUCGGACACAUAUCCAAGAAGUAUCGAGGGAGUAUUUGAGUAUCCAAUACAGACGUGUGGAUUUUUGGAGUAUCGGAGAAACGAAGGUGAUCUCCAAAAGGUAAAUAUGGAAGUUGGGUGGCUCCAGCGAAGAUUGGAUGAGAUCCUUAAGGCAAACUGGAGAAAGGAAAAUACACUACCAAUGAGAGAAGUUGUGGAACAGGAGUUUAGGUGUUUUAGAAAUUCCAUUGUGAGUAAUGCAUACUAGUGAUCUCUCUCUCUCAGGUUACCUAUAGCCCAACAUAACUGAUGCAGGACGCAUAGGACCUAAAUUUAUUAGUUUCCUAAUAUAUUUGUUAGUUUCCUAGAUUCUCUAGUUUUCCAAAUUCUAGUAGGAUUUCUACUUUUCCAGAUUUCCAGAUUUCUAGUUUUAAGUUUCCUAUUCUAUUUGGGUUAGGAUUUCUGUUUAAGCAAAGGAUUUUUAUCCUAUUAUGUCUAGGUUUUAGUUUACUAUAAAUACCCCAAUGUAGUUCUUUAAAAUUCAGAUUUGGAUGAGUAAACCUUCUCUUAAAACUAUAUGAUUUCUGUUCUUCCUUCUCGGUUCUCUGAUUUCGGUCAUUUCUUUCAUCCCUUCGAUCUAUAUUUUCGUCUCCUCAACCUCCUAUAUUCUUCUAUGUUAUAUUGUUUAAGUGUUUACUCUAAACCUACGGGUUGUUCUACAUCAAUUGGUAAUCAGAGCCUUCCUCACUUUCAUUUGCGUUUGAUCUCUGCCAUGGCACCCCAAACCGUGGCCAGCCUUGCGGAACAAUAUCAUGCGUUCCAAGACAAAGUUUCUGCCGAUAUUGCGGGCAUGGAAACCCAACUCUCAAACCUCAGCAGUGACCUCAAAGAAGAGUUGGUGCAGGCUCACAAACAUCGUGCAACAACAGACCUUGCCAUCAACAAACUCCAAGACUCCGUUCAGAUGCUUAUCAAUCACUUUCGGUUUGGAACGACUGAGCCUUCUUCUACCUCAGCGGUGCUCUCGAGUUCAUCUAUGCCGCCGCCAGAAGGUGGCCUUCUUCCCAAUCCACCGAUUGGUUCUCCUCUAGUUGACGAUAACAUUCCCGUCCCUACCCCGCCACCCCGACCACACAAGAACAACUUCAUGCACCGACAUUUUGAUUUUGAGAUAGCUUGACAUGCCACGCUAGGUGUUUUUCCUGCACCAAGGCACUCUGGCGACGACUUAUGAACACCAUGGAUUGAGGGUCUAUCACACCCACACAUGCACUUGCAUUCGUCGGCCAAUCAUGUUCGUCAUGGGUCUAGGCAGAGCUCUCUAUUUGCCAUUCUUACAAGAACUAAUGUUCCAGGCUUGCGGAACGGCUGGUUUCAAGGUGGCAAAUAUGAUGCCGAUUUUGAAGAACUAAAGAACGCCACACGCCUCUUCACACUUCCUUGGGAUUUUGAUUUUGUCGUUGUUUACUCGUCGGAGUCCGAGUUCUUUUCGGCGGAGGAGAAUGAUGCAGGACGCAUAGGACCUAAAUUCAUUAGUUUCCUAGAUUCUCUAGUUUUCCAAAUUCUAGUAGGAUUUCUAUUUUUCCACAUUUCUAGUUUUAAGUUUCCUAUUUUAUUUGGGUUAGGAUUUCUGUUUAAGCAAGGGAUUUUUAUCCUAUUAUGUCUAGGUUUUAGUUUACUAUAAAUACCCCCAUUGAGUAAACCUUCUCUGAAAACUAUGUGAUUUCUGUUCUUCCUUCUCGGUUCUCUGAUUUUGGUCCUUAUUUUCGUCCCUUUGAUCUAUAUUUUCGUCUCCUCGACCUCCUAUAUUCUUCUAUGUUAUAUUGUUUAAACAUUCACUGAUGGCCCAAAAAGCCCAAAAACUCAAGGUCGUGCCACAAGGUGUUCCAAAUCAGUCAACGGGACUAUCGAUUGACAUGCCCAAGGCUCAACUGGAGCCCAUCUACGAUUGGUUGACGACAACAUUCUUGUCCCUACCCCACCCACACGACACGAACUUCAUGCACCAACACUUGGAUUUUGAGAUAGCCCGACACGCCCAGCCAGGUGUUUUUCCUGAACCAAGGCACUCUGGUAAUGACUUACGCACACAAUGGAUUCAGGGUCUAUCACACCCACACACACGCUUGCAUUCGUUGUCCGAUCAUGUUCGUCAUGGGUCUAGGCAGAGCUCUCUAUUUGCCAUUCUUACAAGGACUAAUGUCCCAUGCUUGCGGAACGGAUGGUUUCAAGGUGGCAAAUAUGAUGCUGAUCUUGAAGAACUACCAAACGCCACAUGCCUUUUCACACUUCCUUGGGAUUUUGAUUUUGUCGCUGUUUACUCGUCAGAGUCAAGUUCUUUUCGGCGGAGGAGAAUGAUGCAAGACACGUAGGACCUAAAUUUAUUAGUUUCCUAAUGUAUUUGUUAGUUUCCUAGAUACUCUAGUUUUCCAAAUUCUAGUAGGAUUUCUACUUUUCCAGAUUUCCAGAUUUCUAGUUUUAAGUUUCCUAUUUUAUUUGGGUUAUGAUUUCUAUUUAAGCAAGG
This 36514-nucleotide long non-coding RNA is filed under the name Prunus persica (peach). Its description in RNAcentral is "long non-coding RNA (PPER_LNC000003)". The record is from RNAcentral. Lineage: Eukaryota; Viridiplantae; Streptophyta; Magnoliopsida; Rosales; Rosaceae.